UACGUAGGGUGCGAGCGUUAAUCGGAAUUACUGGGCGUAAAGCGUGCGCAGGUGGCCGCGCAAGUCGAGUGUGAAAUCCCCGGGCUUAACUUGGGAAUUGCGCUCGAAACUACGUGGCUCGAGUGUGGCAGAGGAAGGUGGAAUUCCACGUGUAGCGGUGAAAUGCGUAGAGAUGUGGAGGAACACCGAUGGCGAAGGCAGCCUUCUGGGCCAACACUGACGCUCAUGCACGAAAGCGUGGGGAGCAAACAGG
This 253-nucleotide ribosomal RNA is filed under the name uncultured bacterium. RNAcentral describes it as "partial 16S ribosomal RNA". It matches the Rfam family "Bacterial small subunit ribosomal RNA", at positions 524 to 776 of the family's 1533-position model. The record is from RNAcentral.